UGGGGAAGUUUUGGAUCAAUGGGGCGAACCCGUACGAUCCAGCAAUGCCGCGUGUGCGAAGAAGGCCUUCGGGUUGUAAAGCACUUUUGUUCGGGAAGAAAGCGCCUGGGUGAAUAUCCUGGGUGGAUGACGGUACCGGAAGAAUCAGCACCGGCUAACUACGUGCCAGCAGCCGCGGUAAUACGUAGGGUGCAAGCGUUAAUCGGAAUUACUGGGCGUAAAGCGUGCGCAGGCGGUUGGUUAAGACAGAUGUGAAAUCCCGGCUGCACAU
RNAcentral lists this ribosomal RNA (271 nucleotides) under uncultured beta proteobacterium. Its description in RNAcentral is "partial 16S ribosomal RNA". It matches the Rfam family "Bacterial small subunit ribosomal RNA", at positions 355 to 612 of the family's 1533-position model. Lineage: Bacteria; Pseudomonadati; Pseudomonadota; Betaproteobacteria. The record is from RNAcentral.